RNAcentral lists this ribosomal RNA (253 nucleotides) under uncultured bacterium. RNAcentral's name for it is "partial 16S ribosomal RNA". It matches the Rfam family "Bacterial small subunit ribosomal RNA", at positions 524 to 776 of the family's 1533-position model. The record is from RNAcentral.
UACGUAGGGUGCAAGCGUUGUCCGGAAUUAUUGGGCGUAAAGAGCGUGUAGGCGGCCCGACAAGUCCGCUGUGAAAGUCCAGGGCUCAACCCUGGAAUGCCGGUGGAUACUGUCGGGCUAGAGUCCGGAAGGGGCGAGUGGAAUUCCUGGUGUAGCGGUGAAAUGCGCAGAUAUCAGGAGGAACACCAAUGGCGAAGGCAGCUCGCUGGGACGUGACUGACGCUGAGACGCGAAAGCGUGGGGAGCGAACAGG